Prosopis cineraria is the source of this 107-nucleotide small nucleolar RNA. Lineage: Eukaryota; Viridiplantae; Streptophyta; Magnoliopsida; Fabales; Fabaceae. The record is from RefSeq and is a predicted model, not a curated record.
AUUUGAUGGUGAGGGCAGCUGGCACAUAAUUUCUUAAAUCUUUCCCAAUAUUCAUGAAAUGUCUCCCCAGUCAUCUGACGAAUCCUACAAAUAUCUUUUUUUAUUGC